This is a non-coding RNA of Picea glauca (white spruce), 57 nucleotides long. Lineage: Eukaryota; Viridiplantae; Streptophyta; Pinopsida; Pinales; Pinaceae. The record is from Rfam.
GCACCAGUGGUCUAGUGGUAGAAUAGUAAGACCCGGGUUCAAUUCCCAGCUGGUGCA